AUUGAACGCUGGCGGCAUGCCUUACACAUGCAAGUCGAACGGCAGCACGGGUGCUUGCACCUGGUGGCGAGUGGCGAACGGGUGAGUAAUACAUCGGAACAUGUCCUGUAGUGGGGGAUAGCCCGGCGAAAGCCGGAUUAAUACCGCAUACGAUCUACGGAUGAAAGCGGGGGACCUUCGGGCCUCGCGCUAUAGGGUUGGCCGAUGGCGGAUUAGCUAGUUGGUGGGGUAAAGGCCUACCAAGGCGACGAUCAGUAGCUGGUCUGAGAGGACGACCAGCGACACUGGGACUGAGACACGGCCCAGACUCCUACGGGAGGCAGCAGUGGGGAAUUUUGGACAAUGGGCGAAAGCCUGAUCCAGCAAUGCCGCGUGUGUGAAGAAGGCCUUCGGGUUGUAAAGCACUUUUGUCCGGAAAGAAAUCCUUGGCCCUAAUACGGUCGGGGGAUGACGGUACCGGAAGAAUAAGCACCGGCUAACUACGUG
This 486-nucleotide ribosomal RNA is filed under the name uncultured bacterium. RNAcentral describes it as "partial 16S ribosomal RNA". It matches the Rfam family "Bacterial small subunit ribosomal RNA", at positions 30 to 507 of the family's 1533-position model. The record is from RNAcentral.